AAUAGAAUGAAAGCCAUUAAAUGCAAAUACAUGGUAUUGAGACCAGUGUGUUUGUUAAUUGCAGGAGCUGCCAAGCCAAUCUGUUACUUUGCCAACUUUGUCUUGCUCUCCAUCAAGCUGACAAUGCCCCCAAGCUCUCUGGUGGAGUUCCCAGUGUGUCCUGGAUGUUGUGGGCUGUGAAGAGACUAUGAGUGGAGUCUGUGGACUUGAGACAUUUUUUUCUUUCUUUUUCUGCUGAUCCAACAGCAUUCACAAAAAAGACUAAACUGAAGAAUUGCUCUCUUCAUGGGUAAUUUGAAAUCCAAAUGCAGUAGAAAAUGUAUGGAUAAAAUAUAAGGUUUUCAUCAUGCUUCUUUGCGGCUUCUCCAUAAGCACUGACAGGAGACUGGGGGUGAAAAUUCCUUAUUAUUUUUAGUAACUGAAUUACUGAGGGGUCUCUAACUGGGGUGACAAAAGCUGAAACCCAAGUGCAGCGAGCACAAAUAAAGCAGAGGUCAAAUCCAGUGGAAAAUUAUUAUCUGCUUGUUUUCUGCUGGCUGUCCCAUGCCAUCCAGGAAAGGGAUUAACUGUGUAAGCCACUAGAAAUAAUCACUGGAACUACCCAGGGACACUAUAGUCUCCUUGACUGGAGGUCUCAGGAUGGGAUUGGACAGAUAAGAUAAUCUCAUUGAGGCUCCCUGUCCCACAAACAGUUGUACCAGAUAUCUUUUGAGGUCCCUUCCAACCUGGGCUGCUCUACAUUUCUGUGAAAUAAAUAUUCAAGUUGUAAAGAUAUCCUAA
This is a long non-coding RNA of Serinus canaria (Common canary), 780 nucleotides long. RefSeq lists it as uncharacterized. Lineage: Eukaryota; Metazoa; Chordata; Aves; Passeriformes; Fringillidae. The transcript is spliced from 2 exons. The record is from RefSeq and is a predicted model, not a curated record.